GUGCUUGCUUCGGCAGCACAUAUACUAAAAUUGGAACGAUAUAGAGAAGAUUAGCAUGGCCUCUGUGCAAGGAUGAUAUGCAAAUUCAUGAAGCAUUCCAUAUUUAA
Molecule: small nuclear RNA, 107 nt
Filed under: Catagonus wagneri (Chacoan peccary)
Lineage: Eukaryota; Metazoa; Chordata; Mammalia; Artiodactyla; Tayassuidae
Source: RNAcentral